GAUGAACGCUGGCGGCGUGCCUAAUACAUGCAAGUCGAGCGAACGGACGAGAAGCUUGCUUCUCUGAUGUUUGCGGCGGACGGGUGAGUAACACGUGGAUAACCUACCUAUAAGACUGGGAUAACUUCGGGAAACCGGAGCUAAUACCGGAUGAUAUUUUGAACCGCAUGGUUCAAAAGUGAAAGACGGUCUUGCUGUCACUUAUAGAUGGAUCCGCGCUGCAUUAGCUAGUUGGUAAGGUAACGGCUUACCAAGGCAACGAUGCAUAGCCGACCUGAGAGGGUGAUCGGCCACACUGGAACUGAGACACGGUCCAGACUCCUACGGGAGGCAGCAGUAGGGAAUCUUCCGCAAUGGGCGAAAGCCUGACGGAGCAACGCCGCGUGAGUGAUGAAGGUCUUCGGAUCGUAAAACUCUGUUAUUAGGGAAGAACAUAUGUGUAAGUAACUGUGCACAUCUUGACGGUACCUAAUCAGAAAGCCACGGCUAACUACGUG
Molecule: ribosomal RNA, 497 nt
Filed under: uncultured bacterium
Lineage: Bacteria
Description: partial 16S ribosomal RNA
Rfam family: Bacterial small subunit ribosomal RNA
Source: RNAcentral